Molecule: ribosomal RNA, 253 nt
Filed under: uncultured bacterium
Lineage: Bacteria
Description: partial 16S ribosomal RNA
Rfam family: Bacterial small subunit ribosomal RNA
Source: RNAcentral
GACGGAGGGGGCGAGCGUUGUUCGGAAUUACUGGGCGUAAAGCGCCCGUAGGCGGUGGAUUACGUGAGCAGUGAAAGCCCUGGGCUUAACUCAGGCCGGGCUGUUCAAACGGAUGCACUGGAGUGCCGGAGGGGGAGGCGGAAUGCCUGGUGGAGCGGUGAAAUGCGUAGAGAUCAGGCAGAACGUCGGUGGCGAAGGCGGCCUCCUGGACGGACACUGACGCUGAGGGGCGAUAGCGUGGGGAGCAAACGGG